This 959-nucleotide long non-coding RNA is filed under the name Calidris pygmaea (Spoon-billed sandpiper). Its description in RNAcentral is "lncRNA (ENSCPGG00000010678.1)". Lineage: Eukaryota; Metazoa; Chordata; Aves; Charadriiformes; Scolopacidae. The record is from RNAcentral.
AAUACCCUUACCUCUCACAAUAAAAGAGCACAAGGUGCCUAUGGUGUCCAAACUGUUUUCCUCACAUACGCCACGGGACCAGGCAACCAGGAAUUGUCCAUACAAUGGUUCCAGCACUGCAAAAGCAAAGCCCCUUAGAACAGCUCGUCUCCAUCCUUUAGUCAAAUCCCAGCAGUAACUGACUUGCAGAUCUCCACUUCUGCACUAACAUUUUGCCAUUUGGUGAGUCUGAGAUUGAAGAAACAACUUCCUUUUUUUUUUUCUGUAUUUGCAGAUUUCUCUGUUGUUCAGUACCACUGCUGAACCAGGGGGUUUUGGGUGUCUUUUUGUCUUUCCUUGUUCAUGCCAAUCAAAGAAAACCUCGACCAGAAGACUUCUAAGCCAACAGGGUCUGGAAAUGGAACGUAAAUCUAUGGUUGGCUCUUGCCUGUACUGUAAAGUGGGUAAGAAAGACAAACAACAAACAACUCUUACUGAAACAACCCUGCUUUCUGCAAGCUGAAAAGAAGCAAACUUCUCCCAAACACUGCGUUCCUCCACAUCCACUGAUCAUAAUUAAAUCUGGUAGAUUUUAUAGCUCAGGAUGAUGAAGUGAAACUGAGUUUAGCUAUGAAAAAACUCCCCAAAAGUUGCAAGAUCUGUUUCACAACCACCAUCUGAGAAUGUUUCUUCUUUCACUUGCCCUGCUGAAUAGAAACAGCUGGUACUAGAUAAAUCUUUAGGAUUCUUACUUGCCUAAACAGUGUUUACCAAAUGGAAAUCAUCUGGAAAAUGUGGAAGCAUGCCUUCUUUGUAUGCUUUUUCUUCUGUGUGAGAAUUUACGAAAUGUCCCCAGAAAAAGAACAGGAACAAUUGCCAAACAAUGAUUGAUUAAAAAAAAAUAUAGGAAUUUAGAGCAAUUAAUUCUUACAUGGACAUGAUAUAAAAGCCAAGUAAUAAAGGACAUUUUAUUCCAGUCA